CAGAGUUAUCACAACUCCCAAACCCAUGUGAACCUUUACCAUUUGUUGCCUCGGCGGCGCCCCGCCCCCCCGUUCGCGGGGAAGGCGAUGCCCGCCGGCGGACCAAAACAACUCUUUGCUGUAUCGUGGCACUCUGAGUAUACAAAAACAUAAUAGUUA
This 159-nucleotide unclassified non-coding RNA is filed under the name uncultured Sordariomycetes. Its description in RNAcentral is "sequence contains ITS1". The record is from RNAcentral. Lineage: Eukaryota; Fungi; Ascomycota; Sordariomycetes.